CGCUAGCGGCAGGCCUAACACAUGCAAGUCGAGGGGUAACAGAGAGAAGCUUGCUUUUCUGCUGACGACCGGCGCACGGGUGCGUAACGCGUAUACAAUCUGCCUUAUACAGAGGGAUAGCCUUUAGAAAUGAAGAUUAAUACCUUAUAGUCUAUUUUUAUAGCAUUAUAUAAAUAGUAAAGCUUCGGUGGUAUAAGAUGAGUAUGCGUCCUAUUAGUUAGUUGGUAAGGUAACGGCUUACCAAGACAACGAUAGGUAGGGGCCCUGAGAGGGGGAUCCCCCACACUGGUACUGAGACACGGACCAGACUCCUACGGGAGGCAGCAGUGAGGAAUAUUGGACAAUGGAGGCAACUCUGAUCCAGCCAUGCCGCGUGCAGGAUGACGGCCCUAUGGGUUGUAAACUGCUUUUAUAUAGGAAGAAACCUUUUCACGUGUGAGAAGCUGACGGUACUAUAAGAAUAAGGACCGGC
This 472-nucleotide ribosomal RNA is filed under the name uncultured bacterium. RNAcentral's name for it is "bacterial SSU rRNA". It matches the Rfam family "Bacterial small subunit ribosomal RNA", at positions 34 to 497 of the family's 1533-position model. The record is from RNAcentral.